GAUCAUGGCUCAGGACGAACGCUGGCGGCGUGCUUAACACAUGCAAGUCGAGCGGGGAUAUCUGGAGUGCUUGCACACUGGAUAUUCCAGCGGCGGACGGGUGAGUAACGCGUGAACAAUCUGUCCCAUACAGGGGGAUAACAGAUGGAAACAUCUGCUAAUACCGCAUAAGACCACGAUGCCACAUGGCGACGGGGGUAAAAGGAUUUAUCCGGUAUGGGGUGAGUUCGCG
Molecule: ribosomal RNA, 232 nt
Filed under: uncultured bacterium
Lineage: Bacteria
Description: partial 16S ribosomal RNA
Rfam family: Bacterial small subunit ribosomal RNA
Source: RNAcentral